This 7092-nucleotide long non-coding RNA is filed under the name Nicotiana tabacum (common tobacco). RNAcentral's name for it is "long non-coding RNA (NTAB_LNC000127)". The record is from RNAcentral. Lineage: Eukaryota; Viridiplantae; Streptophyta; Magnoliopsida; Solanales; Solanaceae.
UUCUUUUUCCUUAUCGCUCUUUUCUUUCCUCUCAUUUCUCACGUCCCACAACUUCAUUUACUUUUUUUCCUCUUUUUUUGUUGUUGUCUUUAAUGCUUUUUUAUUUAAUAGUGAUUCGAUGGAACCCUAUGCAAGUUGCCUACGUAUUAUGUCCUUCAUGAAUCAGAUCAGGCGUAGUUCUGGAAAUAUAAUAAACUAAAAACAAAAAUCUUUUUGAGUUUUCAUUUAUAAUCUUGUUUCGGUUUUCAAAUAUAAAACAGGAAAUAUGAUAACGAGAGACUUGAAAAAUUCAACUAUACUACAACAAACUCUAACACUAACUAAAAGAGCCAGUGCUACUGAACAUGACUAUAAAGUACAAGACAACAAAAAAGCAGACUCAAAAAAUAAAAAAAUAAAAACCUCCUUAAGAAACUCCUAGGUGCAACGGUCCUGACCAAAUGGUCCUGAGGUGUCUGUCAUGCUCAAGCUCUGGUAAGUAGAUCCACUCCUGUAUGAGAAAAAUAAGAUCAAAUAGAGUUAAAGACUUAGAACAUUAUGUGAGAUAAUAAAACAUCCUAUUGGACACAUGCAAAAUAUGAUUGAGGCUAUUUUUUAAAAUGGCUUAUGUGGCCAAAAGGUAGCUAGAAGUGCAAACUCAACAAAAGUGACCUCUAAGAUAUGGAAAAAUUACUUAGCAGAAAUAACCCAUUUUGUAGAAAUGGCCUAUGUGGCCAAAAAAUGGCUAAGCAUGCAAAUUUAACAGAAUGGACCUUAAACUGAGAGGACACCUUGUUGUGGACUUAGGACUCUAUGACUUGGGUCACUGAACCACUUUUGCGAAAAUGACCCCAUUUUGCAACAAUGGUCGAUGUGGCCAAAAGCGGCUAGACAUGCAAAUUCGACAAGGAUGGGGCUUUAAAGUAAAGAGAUACCUAAUUGUAGAUUCAAGACUCUCCGGACAAUUAAACAAACCACUUUACAAAAAUAGUCAUAUUUUGCAAAAUGACCGAUGUGGCCAAAAGUGGCUAGACAUGCAAGAUUUGGCUAUGACCCUCGAAGCCAAGAACUUAAGACUCACUAAGAAGACCAGACCCUAUGUGGACUGCCAAUGUAUCCCACCCCAAAAAAUGAGAAUCAGGUAUGCGUAGUUCGGGAAGAUUGGAUAAGGGCGAGAAUUUUGAAAUAUGAUGAAACAUGUAAACUCUUUUUGGAUUUUCUUUUUCCCUUUUUUGAUUUUUUUUUCAAAAAAUGAUGGACAAGUGCAAAAUCUUUUUUUGGGAUUUUAUUUUUGUCUUUUUCUUUAAAAAAAUGUGAAAUAAAAAUAUAACUGGGCCCUACUUUCUUUAUUUUCACACUUCACCUUCUUUUCUCUCUCAUUUAUCCUCAACCAUUAUUGGUCCGUCAAAUGACCCUUUUUACCCUUGAAGAAUGGAACAUGUAGCACAUAAGAUGCAUCAGGAUGGUCUUUUAUUUUUGGGUACACCUGCCCUAGACGGACCCAACCCCUGUGUUGAGUCUCCAAAGUCAAAUGCACAUGAUGCAAACAAACGUUCCUACUAGGGAUUAGGCAUGAGACUAUGUUAUUCUAGGUUUAAAUUUAGGGUUGUGUUCUAGACCUGGCUUACCCGAACGGACAACUCGAGCCGGGGGGGAGCAUACCGGGAAUACAGAAGCUUCGCCGGCUUUGCAAAUAAUCCGAACCUCGUUCUAAAAUUGGGAUAUGACUCUAACAGAAAAGAAGCCACACGAAGCGCACGCUUCCCAAAUGAUUUAGAAGACUCAGAGAGAAGAGGGUUUCGUAAUAGUUUAUAUAUAGUCCAAGAAAUAUCAAAGUGGUAAAAAACGACAUUUAGCACAUUAGGCUCAAACACGUAAAAAUUAGAUAAUAAAUAAAAGCUAACUAUAACAGUUAUUCUAAGCUUGAAUUCUGAACCCUGAACAAGAUGUUCUGGGUUCUUCUCCCCAGUAGAGUCGCCAGAGCUGUCACACCUCCUUUUUUCCCGCAAGGGAUAGGGAGUUUUUCCAAUUAAAGUGACAAUAACCGAAACGGGAUUAUUUAUAUUCAAAUUCAGAGUCUCCACUUGGGACAAUUUAUGGUGUCCCAAGUCGCCGGUUUAAAAUCCCGAAUCGAGAAAGUUAACUCUUAUUUUUUAUCUUCGAACACAAAAAUUCGGGUAAAGAAUUCUGUUAACCCGGAAGAAAGUGUGAGGCACUUCCGAGUUUCGUGGUUUUAGAAUGAUCGCUUAACUAUUAAUAAUUGGCCUAAUUAUCUGUGAUGACCCUAAAGGUCAUCUUUUAUUUUAGAAGUUAAAUUUGCAUCCCGAGGCCUUGAAAAUCUCUUUUUGUCUCACCUCAUAUUGCGUGCACACUCCGGGCGAAUUUCCAGAAAGCUUUUAUGUGAAAUUUAAGAAAAAUAAUGAAAUUGGCCUUUAAAAUUGGUUAAAGUUGACUUUGGUCAAUAUUCUUGGAAAACGGACCCAGACCCUUGAUUUGACGUUCCCGUAGGGUCCGUAGUAAAAUAUGGGACAUGAGCAUAUGCCCAUAAUCGAAUUCUGAGGUCCCAAGCCAGAGAAAAGAAUUUUUGAAGAAAAUUAUUUGCUGGAAAAUAUAAAGGCUUUUAGAAGUGAAUUGAAGCAUUUUCUUGAUGGUAUCGGGCCCGUAUCUUGGUUUCGGAGCCCGGUACAAGUUUAAAAUAAUAAUUAAGUUGGAUCUGUGAAAUUUGGUAAUAAUCGAAAGUGGUUUUGUAUAAAACAGACCUAUAGUUGAGAAAAUAGAAAUUUCAAUGUUCUUGAGUGAUUUCAUGAAUUUGAGAUUUAAUUCGUAGUUGUUGAUGUUAUUUUAAUUAUUUGAUCGUACGAGCAAGCCCAUAUGAUGUUUUAGACUUGCGUGCAUAACUGGUUUGGAGACCUGAGGGCUCGAGUGAGUUUUGGAUAGGCCACGGAGUGAAUUUGGACUUAGAAAAAUUACUGGUAUGUUGCAGCUGUGUAACAAGCCUUUGAUCUCGCAAAUUUGAGAUCAGACCUCGCAAAAUGCGAGGUGCUCAGGUUUGGGAAAUGCGACCCCGGUGUCGCAAAUGCGUACCAAGCAUGGGCAGGCCCUCUUCGCAAAUGCGAGCACUAGGUGGGAAUUGCGAAGUCCGCCCAUCGCAAAUGCGAUAUUUUCCUUCGCAAUUGCGAAGAUGACAGGAUUCCAAAGGGGUUCACAAUUGCGACAUCUGAGACCUGCUAAAUGAGAAUUUUGAUGGGAUUUCAUCGAUUUUUCAUACUCUUUCAAACCCUAAACUCUCUUGGGCGAUUUUCCAAAGAAAGAUGCUUCUCCAAAUCAUUAGUAUGUAAUUUCUAACUUACUUUCUUCAAUCUAUAACAUCUUUUUACAUGAUUUCAUUUCAAAAUCAAAGGUUUUUCAUGGGAAAUUGGGUGUUUUGGGGUAGAAGUUAGGAUUUUCAAAUUUUUGGGGAUUUGGACCUCGAUUUGAGGUCCGAUUUCAAAACUAAUUACAUAUUUGAGUUCAUGAGUGAAUGGGUGAUCGGGUUUUGGUUCGAACUUCGGGUUUUGACCAAGUGGGCCCGGGGUCGAUUUUUGAUUUUUUGGAAAAAUUAUUAGAAAACCUAUUUUCAUGCAUUGGAAUUGGUUUAUUUAGCAUUUAUAGAUAUCGUUAAGUAAAUUGUGACCAGAUACAAGCGAAUUGGAAGUGGAACCGAGAGGUAAAGUGGUAGUAUAGGCUUAAUUUAUCUGUGGAAUCGAGGUAAGUAUUUGGCCUAACCUUAGCUUGAGGGAAUAGGAUUUGUGGUUUAUUUGCUAUGUGUUUGUAUUGAGUACGAUGUAUAGGUGUGGUGACGAGCAUCUAUACGUUGGUGUCAACCAUACCCGUGAGUCUUAUAUCAUGAUUGUUGUGACUCUAUUAUGUAUCGAUCAUGCUCAAAUUGAUGAUUGUUAAUGUUGAACAAAGCUUNNNNNNNNNNNNNNNNNNNNNNNNNNNNNNNNNNNNNNNNNNNNNNNNNNNNNNNNNNNNNNNNNNNNNAAAGCUUAUGAAAGUCUUUUGGUAAUUGAUUAUCGUUGAGAACUGGCACAAGUUGAGUUUCAUUUUUGUAAAGUAAUUGUUUAAAACGAGAUUGGUUAUUGCUGAAUCCCUUGCCGGGAUGUUUUGUUGAUAUUGUUGAUUACCUUGCUGGAUGUUAUUGUUGAUAUUGUUGAUUCACUUGUUGGGACAUAUUCUUUUUAUUGUUUGGGUGAGGAAGAGUGUAAAACAUGAAGGGUGAUGCCGUGCAUGUUAUUGUGAGAGUGUAAAGAACGAAGGGUGAUGUCGUGCACGAUAUUAUGAGUGUUAACGCACGAAGGGUGAUGUUGUGUCAUGAUUUAAGAGUUAAUGCACGAAGGGUGAUGUCGUGCCAUUUAUGAUGUUUCAUAUGGUGAGGACGAGAGUAAAAGCACGAAGGGUGAUGUCGUGCACGUGUUACCGUUUCAUUACUUUGAUUAACUUAGAUAUGAUGUUCAUUAUGCUCCUUAUUAAUGCUUCUUUACUGGCUUAUUGUUAGAAUUUGUUGUCCCCCCCCCCCCACACACAUAACAUGUCCCAUUUCCGCUUUAUUAUGUUGAUUUCUGUUAUAUAUUUCUAUUUGUACAUGAUUUAACUGUACAGGUAUAUAUAUGAUUGUCGUGUCCUAGCCUUGUCACUACUUCGUCGAGGUUAGGCUCGACACUUACUCAGUACAUGGGGUCGGUUGUACUGAUACUAUACUCUGUACUCUUUUGUACAGAUUUUGGUACCGGACCCGAUGAGUAGGUGAGGUAGCUGCCUUCAGUCCAGGGAGACAAAGGUAGAUCUGCUAGCGUCCGCAGAGCCUAAAGUCCCCCUCCCCUACUUUAGUUUUUUUGCUGUCUCUUUCAUUCUGAGAACAGUUGUAUCUUUCUUUCCAAACCAAUGGUUGUAGUAAAAAUCAUAGAUGUUCGUGAUAUUGUGACACCAGAUUCAUGGGUAGACAUGUAUUGAAGUACUUGGACUUAUUUUACACUUCUGCGCUUUUCAUUUGUUUAGUUAUAAUUACUGUUUAUCACUGUUUAAGGUUGAAUGUUAAUGUGUAGAACUGUAACAAUUGGCUUGCCUAGCUUUCACGCCAUCACGACUCUUGAGGGUGAAAAAUCCGGGUCGUAACAUUAUCUAAAUUAUUACAUAUUUGAACCUAUUGUGCUUUUUUAUCUUCUAACCGCGUUCAAUUAUUCAGUUAACCGCUUUUAGUAUUUGUGGUAUUAUUUCUGGAACAAAUUACGAUGUUGUACAUUUGUCAUUUUGGUACACGCCGCGUCACAUGAAACGCACCUGCGAUUUACAACAUAUUUAUUUUUAUUACUAUUCAAAAUUAUGGUCUGGUCACAUAAAAUGCACACCCGAAUUUGAAUUCAUGUAUCAUGACUCUGUCACGAGAACCGUACCCAUAGCCACGAUGAUUUAUUUAAUCGUACCUAAAUCAAGCUACGAUGUUCAUGAUUAUCGUCCUAAACUAAUUUGAGAUUGUUGUGAAGGCCAUAAGUUUGGGAAUCAAAAUUAGGUUAACUUCUAAUUUCAAAUCUAUAUAAUUCAUUAUACCACUUCACGAUCAAAUCAACGAAUUCAACAAUGGACUACUUACUCUUUUGGUUCAAUCAAGCCAAAUAACCCUCGGGAAAAAGAGAAGAAUUGAAGGACACAAUCAUCGAAAUGAAUAUUAAUGCAAUUGUUUGUCAGUUGUCAUCUACUAUAACUAUAAUGACAUUAGUGUUCUUGGUAGGACAUAUUCACAUCAUAAUAAAUUUCAAACAAUGGCUUAGUACAAUACUUGGUGUAGGAUAGGAGAAAAUAACAUUAAUUAUACUUCAAAAGGAUCAGCAGCUUGUAAUGAAGACAUGGCAAAUGACUCCUAAAUGUCAAUCUCAACUUAAUAAGAAGUAAAGCAGCCCAAAGUUUUUAACUAGCUAGGCGUUUUGGACAAUAUUUGAAUCGAAGUAGGAAAAAACAUAGCACUUGAAGCUAAAAAGUGUUGUGGAAACCAUUUUCGUUUAGAUAUGAACUUCACUUGAAAUUUUCUUUUGCAAAAAUAAAAAUUUGUGAGUGAAAAAUCUGUUUCACUUGAAAUAUAGCCUAAAUCAAUAUUUCAGUUGAAAUUCAAAGAAAAUACUUCUAAUUCGCGUAAUCAAUAUCCUUUAAUUUAAUUACUUUAACUAAUCUGACAACCAAUCAUUUGAAUUCCAAACAAAAUUUGAUUAGAGCAAUUUCAUAUUCGGAAAAAAAAAUCAUCAUUGCACAAACAAAUUAAAUAAACUUCCAAGAAUAUAUUGAGCAAACUAACGAGAUAGAGGAAAAGAAUAGACCUCAAGCAGAAUGUUGUCUUCACUAUUAUAACUAAAAUAGCCUCCUCAAACAACAAACUUGAUCCACGAUCGACGACACUCAACGGAGGACCCCACUGAACUCGAACUCCCUCAGAACAAAAGAACCCAGACAAAACUGAAGUGGAGCCCCUGAAUGACGACCACUGACAACCUCGAAGCCUACUAGAAGUAUCGAACUAAACCAGAAUGACAAAAACUAAACUCCAGCUGGUUUUUGAGUUUCUUUGGGACUGAUUUUGGGUUGUAUUGGUAUGGUUUUAUGGGCAAGAGGGCUGGUUUGGGGUCGCGCAUUUUAGAUCUGUUAAUCCAGCAAAUCAGAAAAAAAUCCGAAGAAGAGAUGAAGCCUGAGCAAUUUGCUAUGAAGGAAAUUCAGAACGAGUUAACAAGAAAACAACUAGAUGUGCCAUAUUAUCGUGAGCUUGAUGAGUCUAUUUUGUUAGAUUUUGGUCGAAGGUGGUGGUUGGCAGCGAUGAGCAGCCGGUGGGGGGAGGUGGACUGGCGGCAGCUAUGGAGAUUGGGGUCUUAGGUUGGAGAAGAUAGACCUAGGGUUUUUUUGGUGUUGAAGAUGAAAAACGGCUGGGUUAGGUGUUCUCAUGUUCAUUAGAGAUUAGGGGUCCUCUAGAAGGGUCUCAGGGUUAGCUUAGUGGGUAUUGGAUAUUGGACUUAUCCGAAAAUUGGGCUUAAAAAUAGAUUGUUUGAGCCCAAACUUUAUUCUUUCUCAUUGAACAAGACUAAAAAUACUACC